CAUGCAAGUCGAACGGAAAGGCUUCUUCGGAGGUACUCGAGUGCCGAACGGGUGAGUAACACGUGGGCAAUCUGCCCUGCACUUCGGGAUAAGCCUGGAAAACUGGGUCUAAUACCGGAUAGGACCUUAAGACGCAUGUCUUUUGGUGGAAAGCUUUUGCGGUGUGGGAUGGGCCCGCGGCCUAUCAGCUUGUUGGUGGGGUGACGGCCUACCAAGGCGACGACGGGUAGCCGGCCUGAGAGGGUGUCCGGCCACACUGGGACUGAGAUACGGCCCAGACUCCUACGGGAGGCAGCAGUGGGGAAUAUUGCACAAUGGGCGCAAGCCUGAUGCAGCGACGCCGCGUGGGGGAUGACGGCCUUAGGGUUGUAAACCUCUUUCACCAUCGACGAAGGUCCGGGUU
RNAcentral lists this ribosomal RNA (403 nucleotides) under bacterium Ellin5097. Its description in RNAcentral is "bacterial SSU rRNA". It matches the Rfam family "Bacterial small subunit ribosomal RNA", at positions 54 to 459 of the family's 1533-position model. The record is from RNAcentral. Lineage: Bacteria; Bacillati; Actinomycetota; Actinomycetes; Mycobacteriales; Mycobacteriaceae.